GAUGAACGCUAGCGAUAGGCUUAACACAUGCAAGUCGAGGGGCAGCGAGGGUAGCAAUACCUGUCGGCGACUGGCGCACGGGUGAGUAACGCGUAUGUAACCUGCCCGCAACAGGGGGAUAACCCGGCGAAAGUCGGACUAAUACCGCAUAAAACAGGGGUCCCGCAUGGGAAUAUUUGUUAAAGAUUUAUCGGUUGCGGAUGGGCAUGCGUACCAUUAGGUAGUUGGUGAGGUAACGGCUCACCAAGCCUUCGAUGGUUAGGGGUUCUGAGAGGAAGGUCCCCCACACUGGUACUGAGACACGGACCAGACUCCUACGGGAGGCAGCAGUGAGGAAUAUUGGUCAAUGGGCGAGAGCCUGAACCAGCCAAGUCGCGUGAAGGAUGACUGCCCUAUGGGUUGUAAACUUCUUUUACAAGGGAAUAAAAUGAGAUACGUGUAUUUUAUUGCAUGUACCUUGGGAAUAAGCAUCGGCUAACUCCGUG
RNAcentral lists this ribosomal RNA (485 nucleotides) under uncultured bacterium. RNAcentral's name for it is "partial 16S ribosomal RNA". It matches the Rfam family "Bacterial small subunit ribosomal RNA", at positions 28 to 507 of the family's 1533-position model. The record is from RNAcentral.